GCUCGUCCGAAAAACCCUAAACAAACAGGUGGGAUUGGUGGGCGAGAGUAUAAAAUGUUGUAGCUGGUGUUGUGUGAAAAGCCUUGAAAACUCUUGUCAUACUUGGCAUCGUAAUGAUUGUGUGUUUAAUGGGGCUUCCCCCACGGUUGCUACAGCUCUGCCCCUUGCCAAAUAUGACACCCAACUAUGGAGCAUGUCAGGUGCGAGGGCCUCCCCCUAUGUUCUGUCCCAGGGGGCUGUUUUAGCGCAAUGUCCUAGCCGUCGAAUCCCUCCACACCGCCCUCCGCGCCCGCUUCCCCUUCGCCGGCCCCAUCGACGACGAGGCACACCUUUCAGAAAGGGGUGGAGGAAGAGGGGGAGGAGGAGGCCAUCGACACACGGAAGGAGGAAGGGGAUUUUCGUCGCCGCGUGGAGGCGCGCGCCGAGCUGCAGAUGGAGGGGGCUGGUUGCGGCUCGCACAGAUGAGGGAAGUGGGAGGCGAUUGAUGCGAAGGGAGUAGCGACAGCUAGCUAGGGUUACAAGUACCGUGUACAUACGAGGACAGGACUAUACGAUAUUGAUGGGAGUUGAGUACACUGUAGGACAUUAGUGUCAGUUUGUUGUUGAAGUUUCAGACUUCCAGUUGAUAUAUACAGAACGAUAAAUGCGGCUGGGGUUAUGGUGGAAAUCUGAUAGUCAAGAUCUACUGCCUGACCAGAUGAGGAUGAAACCUGCAGAACAAAGGAUUAAUGCAAAAAUGAUGGCAUACAGUGCGAUAGCACUUAGGCAUGUGUGAUGUGCUUUAAUUCCAACAGUCCGUCCCUACUUGCCCCAUGUUUUAUUUUUUGGUAUCUCAGAAAUACUGAUUAGUUAUUGUGGCUUUUUUUCAUCACCUUUUUUCCAGAAACAUAACUUCUGCACCCUGGUUUCACUGCAUGCAUUGCUUAUCAAAAUACUGACUUGACUGUUUCUUGAGGCACUUUGCAGGUGAUGUAUGAUGCCUUUGGUGUUAGGCUACAUGCAGGAAAGCAAGCAAAGGUCUUGAACCAGAUUGUGUAUGAGCUUCCAUUAGAACAUCCACUGGCUGAAACAAGACCGCUGCGAGAGCUACUAGGGCACACACCUCCACAGGUAUUUGCUGGCGGAGUGCUUGGAUUUGCAGUAGCCACAUUUAUAGCGAUGAUCGCUGGGCUUGGUAGUUGACUCCGCAUUUGAAGAAAUGGUCAACAUUCACAUUGAAGUUCUGGAAUUCAAAUUGGACACAUGUUUCCUAGCCAGCUUAUGAUAGAUAAUGUGUUGUGUAUAGGUGUAUUUAAUAUGCAAAUUGUUGUCAAUUUGUUGAAGAGAAACUUGCGUCAUUCUUUUGUAGUUAAUCGACGAGUGAACUAUAUGUUGUAUUCGUUCCUGUCCAAAGUAUUUGGACUGAUUGAAAGUACCUCUUGAUAAAGCAUUCAUGAGAUUUCCGCACAGCCAUUGCGAUUGAUUUCCAAACCUCAUGUUCAAGUGCAACAUCAUCAAUAUGUGA
Long non-coding RNA from Zea mays, 1504 nucleotides. RefSeq lists it as uncharacterized. The record is from RefSeq and is a predicted model, not a curated record. The transcript has 3 exons. NCBI's taxonomy places the organism in Eukaryota, Viridiplantae, Streptophyta, Magnoliopsida, Poales, Poaceae.